Pyrus x bretschneideri (Chinese white pear) is the source of this 4266-nucleotide long non-coding RNA. RefSeq lists it as uncharacterized. The transcript is spliced from 11 exons. The record is from RefSeq and is a predicted model, not a curated record. Lineage: Eukaryota; Viridiplantae; Streptophyta; Magnoliopsida; Rosales; Rosaceae.
CAACCUAGCCCCAGCGCUGCUCACCCCAUUCCUCUUCAUAAUCUCAGUUAAAUCCAUCGUCAUGGGACCUUCUUCCUCAGACCUUCAUGUGUACGUUACCUUUUCAUCUAAAUUAGGAUCAGGGUUCUGAAAUUAAUUUCCCCCCAAUUUUCCCUCUCUCUUUGCAAUGGAAGAACAUCCAUCGUCUUCCUCAUCUUCUUCUUCUGCUGCUGCUUCGACCAGUAGGAAUACUUCAGGCGGUGCUGCUGUUGCUGCCACUGCCGCUAUGACGUUUGAGAGCUUCGCAGGUUCGGGAGGAGGACGAUGACAAUCAGUGCUACCAACACACCCAUUUCUGGCAUCCGGAGCUGGAGCAAAACCACGAAAUCGGCACUUCGUACGGUGGUAAUAUGCCGAUGAGGUGUCAACAUGAUUACAGAUGACACGUGGCGUGGUCCUGCAUCAUCGUCCUCCUCACCUUCUGGUUCUUCGGCCUGCUGCUUUUGCGGUGAGGAAUUCGAAGGAUAUGUGCUUCUGAGCAAUUCCUAGGCACUAAUCACUCACCAUAUCCUUUUCCACUUACUGGGAUUUUCUUAGUUUGAACUAUUUUCUUCAGUUUAAUUCAAAACUUAAUAGUUAUUUAAAGUGUUUUAUCCAGUUUUUACAAUUACUCUCAUAAAUUGUACCUGAUUUGUGGUUCGGUAGGAUUGAGGUGAUGGGGACGAUUCGUGAGGUUGCAGCCAUAAGAUAUAGGGCCUACGCGCGGGGUUUAGGGGUUUCACGGGGGGAGAGUUCCAGAGGGAGGGGGUGCACACGUGAAUUGCAGAGGGAGAGGGAGAAGGAGAAAGAGGGGGAGUAGGGUUGCUGAUUUGCUAUAUUCAAGUUCUUUAUUUAUUUAUUUAUUUAUUUAUUUAUUUAUUUUUGUUUUUUGUGACAGGUUGAGAAUGUGAAAGCUUUGCUGGAGGUGGAGGUGAGAAGUUUAAUUUAAUUCAUGAUUUAUUGUUGUUGUUGUUUUUUUUUUUUUAACUUUAUUUUUGUGGGAUUGUGCUGUUCUGGGGAAACAAUAUUAAAUUGAAGUAAAGUUUAGAUAUUUCUGUAAUUGGGAUUUAGAGUAAGAGAUGAAGAACUGAAAGUGAUUGCAAAAUUAAAAGCUUAGAACUUUUUUGAUUCUCUCAUAAGAAAGGAUCUCCUCUUUGGCUUUCUGGGCCAAGUCAUCGAAGCUCUCUCUAGAGAGAAAGUGGCAGCAGUAGUGGGGAAGGAAGAAGGACUAUUCAUGUUUCUGUUAUCAUUUUUGCCAUUCGAAGCUCUGGGGUUUGGCUUUGGCUCUGUUAGCUGUUGAGUGUGUCAGGAAAUGAGUUCAACCAUGGAUUCAUAUACAUUGAAGUCCACAUCAAAUUUGUCUGCUCUCUGACCUGAUUGAGUGAGGGAGGAGGGAUACAGCGCAGAGAGAAUAUGACGGAAAUUGAGGAGGAAGCCCAAGCUUUCAGAGAGUUAGUGAGAUCUGAAGCCCAUGCCUGGAUGAACUGAUUUAAUUUGAGCACACAGAGCUCUAAUCUGGUGUUCAAAAAUAAGGCGGAGGCCACAAAGUUCUCAAAUCCAAGAUGAAAAGUUUGGCAUAUCAAAUCAACCUGCUGCUUUCUUGGGACUCUAAUUCUUAGGUGAGUUCUUCUGUUUCUCAUUUUAUUGAUGCUUUUUGGUUUUCCUUUCAUCUAGGUUCUGUAAUUUUCAUAUAGUUUUUUGUUCUUUUGAUGCAUUUGCUGCUAUGAUCUUCUAACUGCUGAAGUUUCUUCAGUCUGGAAUUCAGACAGGCAGGAUGCGGAUACUUCUGACUUUAUUGAGGAAUUUAGUAGUCCCCAUCAUCAUCAGUUUGUCUGCUAUUGCAGUUAGAGAAGCAUUCCACAGAAGAAGGCGGGGUUACACCUUCAGUUUAUUCGUGCAAAGAACCAGUAUGUCCAAAAAUAUAUGUUACUCGAUUCUUAAAAACUUUAUGGCAUGACAAAAUAAAUUUACAAAUUGCUAAUUUUUCUGUUUUGUAUAAAAUCUUUGUUCACUCUACCUGAAUAGGUACACAUGUUAAGUUUUCUUUCAUCUUAUCUUUGGCACAGAAAGCACCAUCAAAAUUUAAACUUUUUUUUUUUUCAUUCGGCUGUUGAGGAAGGGAUUGUUGUUGGUGGAUGAAACCUUUAGGUAAUUAUCUGUUGCUUAUUGAACUCCCCCAAUCAUGAGUUUUGACUCGGAAGAAGAUUUUGAUGAUGACAGAUACUGAAUUAAAUUUUGGCUCAAAUUGUAUUGAAAAUUGCAGUUCGGAGCAAUUUUUAUGAGGAAGAAGGAUGAGUCCCAAACAUAUGUAUGAAUUUAGUCAAUUUCUACAUGCUCCAUUCAGUAGAUGAAUUGUAAACAUAUGAAUUUCAAGCACCUGAAUUGAAUAGAUGCUUUUAAUUCUUCUCUCAUCUAAACCUUAGAUUUUUCUGCAAUUUUAUUUCUAUGUUGUUUAUAUCAUUGUUGUUUGAAUAUAUGGUUAAACUUAUUUCAUUAAUUCUUGAUGCCGUGUGUUGAUAAUCCUGGAAAGGUAGGGGUGCGAUGGUCGUUUUAGUCUGUAGGGUUUCGAACGGAUUGGGUGGGUUAGGGAGACUUUCAUUUCCUUUCUUUCUAUGAGCUGCAGAGGGACUCGGUGAAAGCAUGCCGUCAGGAGAGAGAGCAGGAGGGAUAGAGAUAGGGAUUUGGUGAGAGGAAGGCAUGCGGCUUGCAGAGAGGAGGAGGGGAGAGAGAGGGGGAGGAAGGAAGAGUGAGAGCGAUAGGGAUUUGGUAAGGGGAAGAAAUACGACUUGCAGGUAGACAGAGUCAUAGGGGUGUACGAUUCAAGAGAGAGAGAGAGGAGAUUGAGUCGUUGCAUCACUCUCACUACCUGCACUCUUGAGCCAUGAAGGCCUGAGAUUGAGGACAAAGGCCAUGGUUGCACAGAAUGACUGAGAUUUGAAGCCCAUGACAGCCUCAGCUGAUUGAGGUGAGGAGUCGUUUUCAAAUCUUUUGUGCUUUAGGAUUAAGUUUACAAACUCUAUUCAUAUCAUGCAGCUUCAAAUUUGAAAUUGUGAUUUUGGUCAGCAAGAAUUCUAGGGUUUGUGACGUUUGUGAGGUUUACACAUUUUAAAUCUCCUUUUGUCUUCCAAUUCUCUCUACUUUAUUGUUAUGUGAUGUAACUCUUAUUCUGUAUAUUUUACUGACCAAUCGAAUGUGCAAAGAUAGCGAUUGAAGCCUUUUGUUGCUGGGAGAUCGUUUAGAGUUUGAGUCUGCUGAGUUCUGUGGAUUCACUCAACUGCAAUCAUCUCUUCUGCAAGAUUGGAGAGGAUUGAGAGGCAGAUGAGUGAGACUUCUGAUGGUUACACAGAAAUAAAUGGUCUCUCGCAUCUUGAACCAGAUUACUCUGGGUUUGGCAGGUAUAAAUAAUUCUAGCCUUUUUUUAGAGGAACUACGCUUUCCAUAUCAAUCAGAAUAUUCUGUUAUUAGAAGCAAUUACAUUGAGUUAGGCCAACUAAAAUGGCUGGACAGAAAAAAUGGUCCUAAUUGUUCACUCUCUAAUGAUGUUGGCAAGUAACGUUGAUUGUUAAAAACGCUGGUGGUGCUUCUGUUUUCCACAAUGUAAGCCUAAGAUUAUGCGAUGGUGCUCAAUGUAAGCCUGAAAUAAUGUUGUCAAGUGCUAUACUGAAGCUAUCAGAUUGAACAUGAUGUGUGCAACUUAGAUUGCAACCAUGCAAUUGCUUACUUGGAGCUUCUAAUUCACAAACUGAGUGAAGGUCACAAUAAGUAUUAGUCACUACGAGAGUGUUGGACUAUCCUCAUUCUGGAACCAGGUUUAAGAGGCCCCUGACAAUGACAUUGAAACGGAUUUAUUCUCUACGAUUCUCUGGUUAGGGUAAGCAUUUUGGUGAGCUUUGAUUUUCUGAGGGUAAGCUCUUAAUCUUUCCUCUAUCGUUUUGUAGUUCAUCCUAUUGUUUUAAUUUAGAGCUAUUUUAAUGCUUUUAUGUUUGUCGUUCCGUGCUGGGAAAUUGGAAAGCUCUGGAAACAAUAUAGUUCUUGAGCUAAUGUGAAGAUUUUGGGUUGAACAUUGUGCUGUGAAGAUAUUGGGUUUAAUAUUUGAUUCCGUUUUUCAUUUUGCACUUACAAAAAUAGAGGAUUGUGGUUAAUUAUUGUGAUGUGAAGCUUCUAUUUGAUGUCGACUUAAUGAGUAGCGAUGUAAAUUAAACUACGUAUUUUAUGGAUCAAUUCACAUAUCUCUUGCUUUUUCUUUCA